RNAcentral lists this ribosomal RNA (253 nucleotides) under uncultured bacterium. RNAcentral describes it as "partial 16S ribosomal RNA". It matches the Rfam family "Bacterial small subunit ribosomal RNA", at positions 524 to 776 of the family's 1533-position model. The record is from RNAcentral.
UACGAAGGGGGCUAGCGUUGUUCGGAUUUACUGGGCGUAAAGCGCGCGUAGGCGGGUCACUAAGUCAGGGGUGAAAUCCCGAGGCUUAACCUCGGAACUGCCUCUGAUACUGGUGACCUGGAGAUCGGGAGAGGUUGGUGGAAUUCCGAGUGUAGAGGUGAAAUUCGUAGAUAUUCGGAGGAACACCAGAAGCGAAGGCGGCCAACUGGCCCGAUACUGACGCUGAGACACGAAAGCGUGGGGAGCAAACAGG